CGGUUGAUCCCGCCAGACCUGACUGCUAUCGGAUUGAUACUAAGCCAUGCGAGUCUUUGUAGUAAUACAAGGCAGACGGCUCAGUAACACGUAGUCAACCUACCCUAUGGACGAGAAUAAUCUCGGGAAACUGAGCAUAAUUCUUGAUAGAUCAUAAUGCCUGGAAUGGUUUAUGGUUAAAAUGAUUCGUCGCCAUAGGAUGGGACUGCGGCCUAUCAGCUUGUUGGUGAGGUAAUGGCCCACCAAGGCGAUUACAGGUACGGGCUCUGAGAGGAGAAGCCCGGAGAUGGGUACUGAGACACGGACCCAGGCCCUAUGGGGCGCAGCAGGCGAGAAAACUUUGCAAUGUGCGAAAGCACGACAAGGUUAAUCCGAGUGAUUUCUGCUAAAGAAAUCUUUUGCCAGUCGUAAAACCGCUGGUGAAUAAGGGGUGGGCAAGUUCUGGUGCCAGCAGCCGCGGUAAU
Molecule: ribosomal RNA, 464 nt
Filed under: uncultured archaeon
Lineage: Archaea
Description: bacterial SSU rRNA
Rfam family: Archaeal small subunit ribosomal RNA
Source: RNAcentral